RNAcentral lists this ribosomal RNA (253 nucleotides) under uncultured bacterium. RNAcentral describes it as "partial 16S ribosomal RNA". It matches the Rfam family "Bacterial small subunit ribosomal RNA", at positions 524 to 776 of the family's 1533-position model. The record is from RNAcentral.
UACGUAGGGGGCAAGCGUUAUCCGGAUUUACUGGGUGUAAAGGGAGCGUAGACGGCGAUGCAAGCCAGAUGUGAAAGCCCGGGGCUCAACCCCGGGACUGCAUUUGGAACUGUGUGGCUGGGGUGUCGGAGAGGCAAGUGGAAUUCCUAGUGUAGCGGUGAAAUGCGUAGAUAUUAGGAGGAACACCAGUGGCGAAGGCGGCUUGCUGGACGAUGACUGACGUUGAGGCUCGAAAGCGUGGGGAGCAAACAGG